AAGUCGUAACAAGGUUUCCGUAGGUGAACCUGCGGAAGGAUCAGUAGAGAAAACUGGGUUCUUAACCGGCCCGAUCUACCCCACACACACCUGUGAACCGUUUUACAAGUCCGACGGCCUCUAACCGGGCCCGAGGGCUUCUUUACAAAACAUCUGUAACAAGUCUUGAACGUCAACGUUAUAUCUUAACAAAAAUAUAACUUUCAACAACGGAUCUCUUGGCUCCCAC
This 229-nucleotide unclassified non-coding RNA is filed under the name Kwoniella sp. RNAcentral describes it as "partial internal transcribed spacer region". The stretch from base 1 to 46 matches the Rfam family "Eukaryotic small subunit ribosomal RNA", at positions 1786 to 1831 of the family's 1831-position model. Lineage: Eukaryota; Fungi; Basidiomycota; Tremellomycetes; Tremellales; Cryptococcaceae. The record is from RNAcentral.